Capsicum annuum is the source of this 721-nucleotide long non-coding RNA. RefSeq lists it as uncharacterized. Lineage: Eukaryota; Viridiplantae; Streptophyta; Magnoliopsida; Solanales; Solanaceae. The record is from RefSeq and is a predicted model, not a curated record. The transcript has 2 exons.
AUCGCACAUAAUCUCGAAGGUUAUUUUUUUGGUUUAAUUUGGUAUUUUUUUUAUUAAUAAUCAACAAACUUUAAUGGGUUAACCCAUUAUACAAUUAACAACCAACAACUAUUUUCUUGACCCAGCCCAACCAGAGUCCAAAAUAACAAAUAAAAAUAGUAGUAGGGUUUCAAAAAUAGGAAAUAGUUGCCUAAUCUCUUUCCCAUUCCCUUCUCCUUUAAAAAUAUGGCUCCCCUUCUUCAACAGUAGCUUUCUCUACCUACUGCUAUGUACAAUCAACAUCUUUUCUCCAUCUCCAUAGUGCUCUUGAUAAUUCAUUUUACAAAAAUCUGGAAGGGAUGAAGAUAGAAAUGCUUGGAACCUUGAAGAUCUGGUAUAUGCCUUAUGCCCAGAUUUCUGAAGCUCAACUUCAACCAAUAAACACUCCGAUGAUGCUGAGAAUCCAUUUUAUUCGUUGUAAUAGUCUUGGCUAGCUAGAACAUGCUUUUUUUUUUAUGUUUCUAUGUAGUGUACAUAUGUAGCAUAUAAAAUAAUUCACCCAAGCCACCCCCUUCCCUUUAACCACUUAUUGGUAUAAUUCUUAUGUAAGGGCUCUUUUAUUUAUCACUAUCUAGAAUAGAUUUUCCUUGUUUAUAUAAAUGUUGAACACUGGUAAUAGUGACUACUCCUGUGUCUAUAGCUAGAUUAAUAAGGUAAUUUGCUACUUAUUUCCCUCUCUGUA